UGCUCUCAAGGCCACUGAUUUUGGUCUCUCUGUUUUUUACAAGCCAGGUGAAAUGUUUUCCGAUGUGGUUGGAAGUCCUUACUAUGUUGCACCUGAGGUUUUACGCAAGCAUUAUGGACCUGAAUCUGAUGUAUGGAGCGCAGGAGUUAUUUUGUACAUAUUACUUAGUGGUGUUCCACCUUUUUGGGCAGAAACUGAGAUGGGAAUAUUCCGCCAGAUAUUGCAAGCAAAAUUAGACUUUGAAUCUGAACCAUGGCCUGGAAUUUCAGAUAGUGCCAAGGAUUUGAUACGUAAAAUGCUUGACAGGAAUCCAAAGAGGAGGUUAACUGCCCAUGAAGUUUUGUGCCAUCCAUGGAUUGUGGAUGACACAAUAGCCCCUGAUAAACCUCUCGACUCUGCAGUUCUUUCACGCCUCAAGCAAUUUUCUGCAAUGAACAAACUUAAGAA
RNAcentral lists this unclassified non-coding RNA (447 nucleotides) under Hevea brasiliensis (rubber tree). Lineage: Eukaryota; Viridiplantae; Streptophyta; Magnoliopsida; Malpighiales; Euphorbiaceae. The record is from RNAcentral.